RNAcentral lists this ribosomal RNA (253 nucleotides) under uncultured bacterium. RNAcentral describes it as "partial 16S ribosomal RNA". It matches the Rfam family "Bacterial small subunit ribosomal RNA", at positions 524 to 776 of the family's 1533-position model. The record is from RNAcentral.
UACGUAGGGGGCAAGCGUUGUCCGGAAUCAUUGGGCGUAAAGCGCGCGUAGGCGGCUUGGCAAGUCUGACGUGAAAGCCCGCGGCUCAACCGCGGAUUGUCGUUGGAAACUGCCUCGCUAGAGUCCGGAAGAGGAGAGCGGAAUUCCUGGUGUAGCGGUGGAAUGCGCAGAUAUCAGGAGGAACACCGAUGGCGAAGGCAGGUCUCUGGGCAUUAACUGACGCGGAGGAGCGAAAGCAUGGGGAGCGAACAGG